RNAcentral lists this ribosomal RNA (991 nucleotides) under Bacillus subtilis. RNAcentral describes it as "bacterial SSU rRNA". It matches the Rfam family "Bacterial small subunit ribosomal RNA", at positions 467 to 1463 of the family's 1533-position model. The record is from RNAcentral. Lineage: Bacteria; Bacillati; Bacillota; Bacilli; Caryophanales; Bacillaceae.
ACUUGACGUACCUAACCAGAAAGCCACGGCUAACUACGUGCCAGCAGCCGCGGUAAUACGUAGGUGGCAAGCGUUGUCCGGAAUUAUUGGGGGUAAAGGGCUCGCAGGCGGUUUCUUAAGUCUGAUGUGAAACCCCCGGCUCACCGGGGAGGGUCAUUGGAAACUGGGGAACUUGAGUGCAGAAGAGGAGAGUGGAAUUCCACGUGUAGCGGUGAAAUGCGUAGAGAUGUGGAGGAACACCAGUGGCGAAGGCGACUCUCUGGUCUGUAACUGACGCUGAGGAGCGAAAGCGUGGGGAGCGAACAGGAUUAGAUACCCUGGUAGUCCACGCCGUAAACGAUGAGUGCUAAGUGUUAGGGGGUUUCCGCCCCUUAGUGCUGCAGCUAACGCAUUAAGCACUCCGCCUGGGGAGUACGGUCGCAAGACUGAAACUCAAAGGAAUUGACGGGGGCCCGCACAAGCGGUGGAGCAUGUGGUUUAUUCGAAGCAACCCGAAGAACCUUACCAGGUCUUGACAUCCUCUGACAAUCCUAGAGAUAGGACGUCCCUUCGGGGCAGAGUGACAGGUGGUGCAUGGUUGUCGUCAGCUCGUGUCGUGAGAUGUUGGGUUAAGUCCCGCAACGAGCGCAACCCUUGAUUUUAGUUGCCAGCAUUCAGUUGGGCACUUUAAGGUGACUGCCGGUGACAAACCGGAGGAAGGUGGGGAUGACGUCAAAUCAUCAUGCCCCUUAUGACCUGGGCUACACACGUGCUACAAUGGACAGAACAAAGGGCAGCGAAACCGCGAGGUUAAGCCAAUCCCACAAAUCUGUUUUCAGUUCGGAUCGCCGUUUGCAACUUGACUGCGUGAAGCUGGAAUCGCUUGUAAUCGCGGAUCAGCAUGCCGCGGUGAAUACGUUCCCGGGCCUUGUACACACCGCCCGUCACCCCCCGAGAGUUUGUAACACCCGAAGUCGGUGAGGUAACCUUUUAGGAGCCAGCCGCCCAAGGU